This 533-nucleotide ribosomal RNA is filed under the name uncultured Helotiales. RNAcentral's name for it is "partial 28S ribosomal RNA". The record is from RNAcentral. Lineage: Eukaryota; Fungi; Ascomycota; Leotiomycetes; Helotiales.
CGGGUCGCUUACAACCAUUACGCCAGCAUCCUAGCCGAAGCGCGGUCCUCGGUCCGGGUAGGCUGCAUUGCACCGAGGGCUAUAACACUCCCCGAAAGAAGCUACAUUCCCAAGGCCUUUAUCCAACCACCCAAACCGAUGCUGGCCUGAACGCAACCGAGUGCACCGGGGAGAACCCCGGAUGAUCGGCAGCGUGCAAGUCUGGUUGCAAGCGCUUCCCUUUCAACAAUUUCACGUACUGUUUAACUCUCUUUCCAAAGUGCUUUUCAUCUUUCGAUCACUCUACUUGUGCGCUAUCGGUCUCUGGCCAAUAUUUAGCUUUAGAUGAAAUUUACCACCCAUUUUGAGCUGCAUUCCCAAACAACUCGACUCGUCGAAAGAGCUUCACAUAGGCGAAGGCAACCAGUCACAUACGGGAUUCUCACCCUCUAUGACGUCCUGUUCCAAGGAACUUAGACCGGAGCCACACCCGAAGCAUCUUCUACAAAUUACAACUCGGAGCCUAAAAGACCCAGAUUUCAAAUUUGAGCUGU